This 552-nucleotide ribosomal RNA is filed under the name uncultured methanogenic archaeon. Its description in RNAcentral is "bacterial SSU rRNA". It matches the Rfam family "Archaeal small subunit ribosomal RNA", at positions 779 to 1332 of the family's 1478-position model. The record is from RNAcentral. Lineage: Archaea; Methanobacteriati; Methanobacteriota.
UAAACUACGAGUUACCCGGGUUCCCGAAGUGAAAACGUGAAACGUGCCGCCUGGGAAGUACGGUCGCAAGGCUGAAACUAAAGGAAUGGCGGGGAGCACCACAACGGGUGGAGCUGCGGUUUAAUUGGACUCAACGCCGGGCAGCUCACCGGAUAGGACAGCGGAAUGAUAGCCGGGCUGAAGACCUUGCUUGACCAGCUGAGAGGAGGUGCAUGGCCGUCGUCAGUUCGUACUGUGAAGCAUCCUGUUUAGUCAGGCAACGAGCGAGACCCACGCCAGGGGGUUGCUAGCAUGUUCUCCGGAAUGAUGAGGACACUGUUGGGACCGCCUCGGGGGGGGGGGAGGAAGGAAUGGGCAACGGUAGGUCAGCAUGCCCCGAAUUAUCCGGGCUACACGCGGGCUACAAUAAACAGGACGAUGGGAAACGGCACUGAAAAGUGUAGUCAAUCUCCUAAACCUGUCCCAAGUUCGGAUUGUGGGCUGCAACUCGCCCACAUGAAGCUGGAAUCCGUAGUAAUCGCGUUUCAAAAUAGGGCGGUGAAUAAGUCCCUG